This 468-nucleotide ribosomal RNA is filed under the name uncultured bacterium. Its description in RNAcentral is "partial 16S ribosomal RNA". It matches the Rfam family "Bacterial small subunit ribosomal RNA", at positions 28 to 507 of the family's 1533-position model. The record is from RNAcentral.
GACGAACGCUGGCGGCGUGCUUAAUACAUGCAAGUCGAACGGAAAGGCCCUACCUUUGUGGUGUGCUCGAGUGGCGAACGGGUGAGUAACACGUGAGUAACCUGCCCUUGACUUUGGGAUAACUUCAGGAAACUGGGGCUAAUACCGGAUAGGAGCUCCUGUUGCAUGAUGGUGGUUGGAAAGUUUCGGUGGUUGGGGUUGUACUCGCAGCUUAUCAGCUUGAUGGUGGGGUAGUGGCUUACCAAGGCGUUGACGGGUAGCCGUCCUGAGAGUGUGACCGGGCACAUUGGGACUGGGAUAGGGCCCAGACGCCUACGGGAGGCAGCAGUGGGAAAUAUUGCAAAAUAGGCGGAAGCCGGAUGCAGCGACGCCGCGUGCGGGAUGACGGCCUUCGGGUUGUAACCAGCUUUCGCCUGUGACGAAGAGUGAGUGACGGUAAUGUAUAAAGAAGCAACGGCUAACUACGUG